GGACCCGUAGUGUAGCCUGGUUUAACACGCCUGCCUGUCACGCAGGAGAUCGAGGGUUCAAAUCCCUUCGGGUCCGCCA
Molecule: transfer RNA, 79 nt
Filed under: Candidatus Margulisiibacteriota bacterium
Lineage: Bacteria; Bacillati; Candidatus Margulisiibacteriota
Description: tRNA-Asp
Rfam family: tRNA
About the family: Transfer RNA (tRNA) molecules are approximately 80 nucleotides in length. Their secondary structure includes four short double-helical elements and three loops (D, anti-codon, and T loops).
Source: RNAcentral